CGGACGGGUGAGUAAUGUCUGGGAAACUGCCUGAUGGAGGGGGGUAACUACUGGAAACGGUAGCUAAUACCGCAUAACGUCGCAAGACCAAAGAGGGGGACCUUCGGGCCUCUUGCCAUGGAUGUGCCCAGAUGGGAUUAGCUAGUAGGUGGGGUAACGGCUCACCUAGGCGACGAUCCCUAGCUGGUCUGAGAGGAUGACCAGCCACACUGGAACUGAGACACGGUCCAG
This 231-nucleotide ribosomal RNA is filed under the name uncultured bacterium. RNAcentral describes it as "partial 16S ribosomal RNA". It matches the Rfam family "Bacterial small subunit ribosomal RNA", at positions 99 to 334 of the family's 1533-position model. The record is from RNAcentral.